RNAcentral lists this ribosomal RNA (379 nucleotides) under uncultured cyanobacterium. RNAcentral's name for it is "bacterial SSU rRNA". It matches the Rfam family "Bacterial small subunit ribosomal RNA", at positions 376 to 770 of the family's 1533-position model. Lineage: Bacteria; Bacillati; Cyanobacteriota. The record is from RNAcentral.
CGAAAGCCUGACGGAGCAACGCCGCGUGUGGGAAGAAGGCCUUUGGGCUGUCAACCACUUUUCUCAGGGAAGAAGCUCUGACGGUACCUGAGGAAUCAGCCUCGGCUAACUCCGUGCCAGCAGCCGCGGUAAUACGGAGGAGGCAAGCGUUAUCCGGAAUUACUGGGCGUAAAGCGUCCGUAGGGGGCUCGUCAAGUCUGCUGUCAAAGCUCGGAGCUCAACUCCGACCCGGCAGUGGAAACUGGUGAGCUAGAGGGCGACAGGGGUAGAGGGAAUUCCCAGUGUAGCGGUGAAAUGCGUAGAGAUUGGGAAGAACACCGGUGGCGAAAGCGCUCUACUGGGUCGCGCCUGACCCUCAGGGACGAAAGCUGAGGGAGCG